RNAcentral lists this transfer RNA (74 nucleotides) under Ovis aries (sheep). It matches the Rfam family "tRNA". Rfam says of the family: Transfer RNA (tRNA) molecules are approximately 80 nucleotides in length. Their secondary structure includes four short double-helical elements and three loops (D, anti-codon, and T loops). Further hydrogen bonds mediate the characteristic L-shaped molecular structure. tRNAs have two regions of fundamental functional importance: the anti-codon, which is responsible for specific mRNA codon recognition, and the 3' end, to which the tRNAs corresponding amino acid is attached (by aminoacyl-tRNA synthetases). tRNAs cope with the degeneracy of the genetic code in two manners: having more than one tRNA (with a specific anti-codon) for a particular amino acid; and 'wobble' base-pairing, i.e. permitting non-standard base-pairing at the 3rd anti-codon position. The record is from Rfam by way of RNAcentral. Lineage: Eukaryota; Metazoa; Chordata; Mammalia; Artiodactyla; Bovidae.
UCCCUGUUGGUCCAGUGGUUAGGACUCCGUGUUGUUACUGCUGAGGGCCUGGGUUCAAAAUCCCAGCUCAGGAA